This is a long non-coding RNA of Hypanus sabinus (Atlantic stingray), 565 nucleotides long. RefSeq lists it as uncharacterized. The transcript is spliced from 3 exons. The record is from RefSeq and is a predicted model, not a curated record. Lineage: Eukaryota; Metazoa; Chordata; Chondrichthyes; Myliobatiformes; Dasyatidae.
UAAAGCUUGUUUCCUGUUAUUAAUUGAUUCAAAAUUUGGAAGUUUUGUUUAGAGGAUGAAAAAUUCCAAAAGGAUGCUGAUGGAAAGAAACCAAAUGCAAAUACAUCAGUUGGCUCUGUAAGGUGAUUUAUGAAUAAGAUUUGGAAGACUUUCUUUUCAGAAAUCAGAUCAGGUCCAAGAGACCAAAAACAUGGAUGUGCAAAGCUGCAGAGCUGUAAACGUUUGAAAUGGUGACUGGCCAACAGAAAGUCAAGUAUAUUGGAACACAAGCAGCGGUGUUCGCGUCAUGCCUAGAGAUAACGGGGGCUUUGGAAUGUGCGCUGUCAAAUGAAAGGAGUUUUUUUUUCUUGUUGUGUGCCUGAGAACGAGGUGAUCUGGGUCUUUUGUACGGUGAGAGAUGAAGAGAGAAGAUGCCAGAAAGGAGACGUCGUAGGCAGCAGGACGGAAUGGACUUGGAGUGGGGCCAGGAGUUGACGAAGCCCAGGGAAAUCGAUGGAGGGGAAACCGUGAACUCCAACACGCACAUUAGACUUGCAUUAAAAUGGGUCCUUUUUGAUUUACUUUA